This is a long non-coding RNA of Acinonyx jubatus (cheetah), 3466 nucleotides long. RefSeq lists it as uncharacterized. The record is from RefSeq and is a predicted model, not a curated record. The transcript has 2 exons. NCBI's taxonomy places the organism in Eukaryota, Metazoa, Chordata, Mammalia, Carnivora, Felidae.
AGGAUGUAUUUGGAAACUGGCCCUUCUCACACAGGCAUAGCCCCCUAACAUCGUGUUUGAGCCCAAUUCCUCCCCCUCCCAGGCCAGAGCUGACCUGACAUGGUCUGGGUCAGUUACAUUCUCUGACCCUGAAUUUGGACUUGAAGGACGGAGGCAAGGUCUUCUGGUUACAGAAGCUGAGGGCAGAUGACAUUGUGAAUUGUGAGGCAAUCGUGCACAGAGCAGGAGAUGAAGGUGACCCACAGAGAACGAGAAGAGAAAAGAGAAGGCAGGGAAGCAGGGACAAGGAGCCCCGGGUCCAAGAGAGGAGGUGCCUGACGGGACAGCUGCCCCGGACCAAAAGCGUUCUGGUCUUUCCUGAAGCCCCCAACACUCGAUCCUUGGAGUCCACGAGAUGAGACGAGUGAGGCCCUGAAGAAGAAAAGUGAUGUUUGGCAGGUGGUAUGUGGGCAGGGCAGGGGGGCCCCCAGAACCUGCGGUUUUCUUUGAACAACCAAGUCAACAAAUGCAUGGGUCUAGAUCCCCCAGGGGCCCUUCCUCAGGACUCUGCCGUGACCCUGACUUCCCAGUGAGUAACUCGGUCUGCACAGCAGAGCUGCAGACCCCACGCCUUCGAAUCGGAGAAACUUGCUCCAAAUUCCAACUCUACCACUUAGCAGAGGGAUGGCCCUUUACUUCAAGCACUCGGAACCUCGGUUUCCUCAUCUGCCAAACAGGGACUGUGUGAUGAUGCACCACAUAUGCUGUGAAAAUCAAAGAAUGCACGCAAAGGGCUUGGCAUAAAACUUGGCACACAGCAGAGUCAGGGCACAAGCAAGAGUCAAGAAACACAGCCUAUUACCUGUGAAAGAAAUCCAAAUACGUUUACCAUUUGUCCCAAGGACCCUCCUACGUAAGAUACUGUCCAACCACACAAACAGUUUUUGUGUUGGGUGAAGUGAAAGUGGAAAGGUGGGGACGUGGCAAACUGUGGACAAGUGGAGGCGGAGGGUGAAGUCAGGAGAGAGGCAAAUGACCUUAAUUGCCUAUGCCCUCUAUCUGUUAUUAGAAAGUAGCGGGGAGACCCAACCAGAAAAAGAAAAGAGUAUAAAAUCAAACGGCUUAUUUUGUUUGUGUAACCCCACAGACAACAAUACGAUGUAAUCACACAUUCAAUGCCGAGAGAAUAUCGACUCUGUUGGAUUGACCAGACAUAAAGCCAACCGAACGCGAUACGCUUCAAGUUCCCAAAGACUACAGCAAGACUGUAGACGGUGGUCGUUUAAAAUUAAAAAAGAAAAAUGAGGACACUUCUUUCCUUUUGGUCACGAACUCCCUAACUUUAAAACCACUGAAACGAGACUGAGUCUCUGAGAGGAGAAGGAUCCGGGCUUUGCUUUCAGUUGGCCGAGGAAGAGCAUUCCAGCCCCAGAAGCACACACACACACAUGCAAGAAACUGGACACUCGAUUUGUUCUCAAAAGGUACAUUAAAGCUGACAACAAACCCACUUGAAAUUCUGAAAUCAGAACAACAAAGAAUUGGGAGAAAGAAUUGGCCUUUCAGCCAAAAAUAUGCUGACAGGGUGACAGGGUCUGUGCCAUGUCGGCAGAAAUACAUAAAUCAGGUGGCUAAAAAAAGGAACCGAUCUGAAGUGCAACUCAUUUUUAGGACUAAAUCACAAAAAUUAAUAAAAAUAUGUGAGGUUUUCCUACAGUUACUGGGAAUCAGGAAAACAUGAGUCUAUUGUAGAAAGAAAAGGUUGAGCAUAUUUUGUUUUCAGUAAGGGGGAAGGUCCCCAAAGCAUAGCCAUCCCCUCGCAAAUGCUUUUAAAUCAGUAAUUCCUACGACAAAAAGUGCUUGUUUCCUUUUGACAAGAUUGUAAGUACACUAGUAAAUCUAAGUUUAAUACCCAUCAAAUAUUUUGCAAAAGUAAUGAAGUCCAGGUAAUAAAUGAAAUCUCAGUAAAUCUCUCCAUUUAAAGUAUUGCUGACAAGAAGAAUCGGUACCCUGUGUUUCUGGCUGGCUCAUCCAAUUUGACGUAUUAGCAGAAUGUAGCAAAAUUUGCUUAAAGUGCUGGUUGUAUAACGGUGAGAUUCUUUUCUCAUUUUUAUUUAAAACGCAAAGAUGAAUGACCUACAAGUACUAAUUUUUCCCUUAACUCCCAGUGUUCGACAGCUCAUAUUCCUCCACUAACUCCCUUAUGUAACAUUCUUUCUAGCAAUGUGAGCAAAUACGUAGUCACAGUAUCAGCCAUCAGAGCAACAGAAUUCUCUACAAUGAAUUAAUUUCAUGUUAACUACAAAAUAAAAAUGGAAUUACACCUAAAGAAAGAAGAUAAGAAUAAUGAAAGGAACCAGAGUAUUUCCUCUUCUGGAAAAUAAAAAAUGGGAAAAUCAUAUCAACUCCCAUUAGUUCACUGUUAAUUAAAGGAUAGAUUUGGUAAAGAAUAUCUUCCAAAGUCUUAAUGGACUUAAAAAGUUACAAGAGCUGGACGGUAGAAAUCGUAGUAGUUAAGAAAUAUCUUUGUUUCACUUUUAGGCUUUUUUACAGAAUAUGUAAAGUGCUGUAAAAAUGAAAGUACUAUAAAAUUGAAGGUCAAUUUUAGUCAAAAUGAGAGGGAGAUUCAGGGUUUAGCUAAAAUUCCCUAUCUCAAUUUUCCUAUCUUGACAGUUUCUACAUCUUUUCUUAAAUUUAAAUACAUUAUUAACUUGAAUCCAUUACCCUCAGAAUUCAUAUCAUAAAAAUGUAUGUAUGUGAAAAUGUGAAAAGCAUCUGACCUUAGAAACCAAUUUAUUUUUCCCUUCUUAUUUCAAAAACAAUUUAUUUCCAAAUGUCCAAAGCAAAUAAUCUCCCAGGUGCUUCCUGCCAGUUGUAAAGAACAUUCUAUUUAGGGACAACAUUGGAACAACACAUUUCACCUCCUCUCUCUUCCUGCUGGCUUCCAGUGUGUUGGAAAUUAAGAGUUUGAAAUUAGGAGUUUUAAUUAGGCAGGCUUUCUCUGCCUGUUGGUUUAUUUCCUUUAUUUUAAGGUAGAAGUCUCUGUAUGGUUGAGUGCAGCUCCUUACAAAGCCACAGAGGGUCAGACCUGAAAUGGGAAAGUUAUUUUAAUUUAGUCCAGCAUGUUUGUUUUUCCUUUUUGCUGACACCUAGAUCCUAUUCUGAUGUGACUGUGUCUUUGUUUAAGAUGGCUUUUCAGGGUAUGAGGGAGCUGCGUUUUAAAGGGCUGCGUUUUCUAAAUGAGCAGGUAGUUUGUGACAUUAAAAAAAUUGUCGAAGUUCUGUAAUUCCCCAAGAGCUGGCUAUCAUCUCAAAGGUAUCUAGGGGUGCGACUGUGGUGGUUUGAACAGCAACUUCAUAGCAACUGGAACCACAAGUUUUCUGAAACGUGACUUGUAUCUUGGUAUCUGGUUACAUCUUGGUUUCAUCUGUAACAGGUUUUAACUAUAAAAAGCUUAAAUAAAAAUAAGAAAUGAAGUGUUUCUGUA